This 448-nucleotide ribosomal RNA is filed under the name uncultured bacterium. RNAcentral describes it as "partial 16S ribosomal RNA". It matches the Rfam family "Bacterial small subunit ribosomal RNA", at positions 330 to 797 of the family's 1533-position model. The record is from RNAcentral.
GCCAGACUCCUACGGGAGGCAGCAGUGGGGAAUAUUGCACAAUGGGGGGAACCCUGAUGCAGCGACGCCGCGUGGGUGAAGGAGCACCUCGGUGCGUAAAGCCCUAUCGGCAGGGAAGAAGGAGGACGGUACCUGACUAAGAAGCCCCGGCUAACUACGUGCCAGCAGCCGCGGUAAUACGUAGGGGGCAAGCGUUAUCCGGAUUUACUGGGUGUAAAGGGGGCGCAGACGGCAGCGCAAGCCAGGAGUGAAAGCCCGGGGCCCAACCCCGGGACUGCUCUUGGAACUGCGCGGCUGGAGUGCAGGAGGGGCAGGCGGAAUUCCUGGUGUAGCGGUGAAAUGCGUAGAUAUCAGGAGGAACACCGGUGGCGAAGGCGGCCUGCUGGACUGCGACUGACGUUGAGGCCCGAAAGCGUGGGGAGCAAACAGGAUUAGAUACCCGAGUACA